UUUAAAGUGUAAUGUAAGUCGCUUUGGAUAAAAGCGUCUGCUUAAUGACCUGUA
This is a non-coding RNA of Gasterosteus aculeatus (three-spined stickleback), 54 nucleotides long. The record is from Rfam. NCBI's taxonomy places the organism in Eukaryota, Metazoa, Chordata, Actinopteri, Perciformes, Gasterosteidae.